Molecule: long non-coding RNA, 1727 nt
Filed under: Helianthus annuus (common sunflower)
Lineage: Eukaryota; Viridiplantae; Streptophyta; Magnoliopsida; Asterales; Asteraceae
Description: hypothetical non coding rna
Source: RNAcentral
GUGUGUGUGUGUGGAUCGUACAUCAGGAGCAAGAACAACUCAAACCCUAGUUCACCCAAAAUCAACAAAUUGAAGGUCAAAUCUAGCCCAAAUCAAAUGCAUGAACACAAAUUCGUGAUCUCCUAAGCUUGGGGAUCAUAAGUUUGACGCCUAACGAGCUAGAUGGAAGCUUGUGGAUGAAGCGGGUCAAACGGAGCAAGUACGGAAAGAAAAGCAUGGCAUGGAUGCAAGAUAAGUAAAACUUACACCCUUUUUUGUAGAAUGCCUAAUUAAUUACAAGGGUUAUGAAUAUGAUAAGUUAAUGAUUAAAUGUGAUGUUCUGACGAAAUUUGAUACGGGUCGGAACAAGUGAAGGUGAUGAAAACCAUGAUGGUUAAAAAAAAAGAAGGGGCAAAAUAGCAAAUUAGUCACGUGUUGGCAACUGUAAGUAAAUCUUAAAAUAGAAUUACAACAUAAAGUAUGUUUGGUAAUUUUAAUAGAUUUUUCUAAAGUCAUUCGACAAGGUUUUCGCGGAUAUUUUGUCAAUAAAUUAUUUGUUGACAGUAACAGCUCCGCUACUUGUAGACAUUAUUUCGAGGUCAUAACCAUCGAAUUUUGACACGAUAUUUGACCAGAAGUUGGUUUACAACAUUAAGGAUGUUUAGUAAUUUUUAUAGAUUUUUAUAAAGUUGUAUGACGAGGUUUUCGCGGAUGUUUUGUCAAUAAAUUAGUUGUUGACAGCAACAGUUCCGCUACUUGCAGACAUUAUUUCGAGGUCUUAAACAUCGAAUUUUGACACGAUAUUUGAUCAGAAGUUGGUUUACAACAUAAAGGAUGUUUAGUAAUUUUUAUAGAUUUUUGUAAAGUUGUUUGACGAGGUUUUCGCGGAUGUUUUGUCAAUAAAUUAGUUGUUGACAGCAACAGUUCCGCUACUUGCAGACAUUAUUUCGAGGUCUUAACCAUCGAAUUUUGACACGAUAUUUGACCAGAAGUUGGUUUACAACAUUAAGGAUGUUUAGUAAUUUUUAUAGAUUUUUGUAAAGUUGUUUGUCGAGGUUUUCGCGGAUGUUUUGUCAAUAAAUUAGUUGUUGACAGCAACAGUUCCGCUACUUGCAGACAUUAUUUCGAGGUCUUAACCAUCGAAUUUUGACACGAUAUUUGACCAGAAGUUGGUUUACAACAUUAAGGAUGUUUAGUAAUUUUUAUAGAUUUUUAUAAAGUUGUAUGACGAGGUUUUCGCGUAUUUUUUGUCAAUAAAUUAGUUGUUGACAGCAACAAUUCCGCUACUUGCAGACAUUAUUUCGAAGUCUGAAACAUCGAAUUUUGACACGAUAUUUGAUCAGAAGUUGGUUUACAACAUAAAGGAUGUUUAGUAAUUUUUAUAGAUUUUUGUAAAGUUGUUUGACGAGGUUUUCGCGGAUGUUUUGUCAAUAAAUUAGUUGUUGACAGCAACAGUUCCGUUACUUGCAGAAAUUAUUUCGAUGUCUUAACUAUCGAGUUUUGACAUGAUAUUUGGCCAGAAGUUGUUUAGCAACAUAAAUAAUGUUUGGUGAAUGUCGGGAGUACCGGAUGAAGGUCAAGCGAAGUGCAAGAACCGAACACAUGGAAAAGAAGCUUCCGCACGUUGCCUCGUCGUUAUUUUGAAACGACGAACUCAAUUACAUCAUGUAGGAUUAUUUUUGUAAAUUGUAAAAGUUUUAAUUCAACCGUAUUUUUAAUAUAUAUGUAAUCAUAAUUACCUGUUUAUU